UGAUUACCCGCUGAACUUAAGCAUAUCAAUAAGCGGAGGAAAAGAAACUAACCAGGAUUCCCUUAGUAACGGCGAGUGAAGAGGGAGUAGCCCAGCACCGAAGCCUGCGGCAGAUUUGCUGUUAGGCAAUGUGGUGUUUGGGUCGACUAGCGGGACUGCCACUCCACUCGAAGUCCAGCAUUGAGUAUGGUCACUGGAUUUGGCCCAGAGAGGGUGAGAGGCCCGUACGAGUGGAGGAUGUUGAUACAUGUGGGCAGUUCACCAGGUCGGCCUUAGAGUCGGGGUGUUUGUGAAUGCAGCA
Molecule: ribosomal RNA, 301 nt
Filed under: Mesocestoides canislagopodis
Lineage: Eukaryota; Metazoa; Platyhelminthes; Cestoda; Cyclophyllidea; Mesocestoididae
Description: eukaryotic LSU rRNA
Rfam family: Eukaryotic large subunit ribosomal RNA
Source: RNAcentral